ACUUAAAUUGAAGAGUUUGAUCAUGGCUCAGAUUGAACGCUGGCGGCAGGCCUAACACAUGCAAGUCGAGCGGUAGCACAGAGAGCUUGCUCUCGGGUGACGAGCGGCGGACGGGUGAGUAAUGUCUGGGAAACUGCCUGAUGGAGGGGGAUAACUACUGGAAACGGUAGCUAAUACCGCAUAACGUCGCAAGACCAAAGUGGGGGACCUUCGGGCCUCAUGCCAUCAGAUGUGCCCAGAUGGGAUUAGCUAGUAGGUGGGGUAACGGCUCACCUA
This 276-nucleotide ribosomal RNA is filed under the name Klebsiella pneumoniae. RNAcentral's name for it is "partial 16S ribosomal RNA". It matches the Rfam family "Bacterial small subunit ribosomal RNA", at positions 1 to 271 of the family's 1533-position model. The record is from RNAcentral. Lineage: Bacteria; Pseudomonadati; Pseudomonadota; Gammaproteobacteria; Enterobacterales; Enterobacteriaceae.